CGGGGUUAGGAGUAACGCGUGAGGAACCUGCCUCAAAGAAGGGGGACAACAGUUGGAAAGACUGCUAAUACCGCAUAAGCCCACGGCUCGGCAUCGAGCAGAGGGAAAAGGAGCAAUCCGCUUUGAGAUGGCCUCGCGUCCGAUUAGCUAGUUGGUGAGGUAACGGCCCACCAAGGCAACGAUCGGUAGCCGGACUGAGAGGUUGAACGGCCACAUUGGGACUGAGACACGGCCCAG
This 237-nucleotide ribosomal RNA is filed under the name uncultured bacterium. Its description in RNAcentral is "partial 16S ribosomal RNA". It matches the Rfam family "Bacterial small subunit ribosomal RNA", at positions 104 to 334 of the family's 1533-position model. The record is from RNAcentral.